RNAcentral lists this long non-coding RNA (4679 nucleotides) under Homo sapiens (human). RNAcentral's name for it is "non-protein coding LINC02253:7". Lineage: Eukaryota; Metazoa; Chordata; Mammalia; Primates; Hominidae. The record is from RNAcentral.
UUUUAUAGGUUCAUCAAAAUAAGAUAUGAUCAAGGUACAAAAGAGUUAAAGAAGCUAUUUAUUUUAAUGUUUCCUUGGAGAGCACACUUGUUAUUUGCUUGUUUUAACUUUCAUGCUUUUUUUUUUUUUUUUUUGAGAGAGAGAGAGAGACAGUUUCACUAUGUUGCCCAGGUUGGAGUGCAGUGGUGCAAUCAUAGCUCACUGCAACCCGGGACGCCUAGCCUCAAGUCAUCCUCCCACUUCAGCUACCCAGCUAGUACCCACCACCGCACCCAGCUCUUUUUUAAAAAAUUUUUUAUAGAGAUGGGGUCUUGCUAUGAGUUGCCCAGGCUGGACUCAAACUCCUGACCUCAGAAGAUCUUCCUGCCUCAGCUUUCCAAGUUGCAUCUGGCUAUUUACAGGCUUUCAAAAAGUGUUUGUUGUAUCUCUACCUUGUCCCAUCAUUGUGUUAGAUACACUCACAUUACAAAUGUUGUCAAAAAUGCUCACAUCAUAAAGAGGAGAAUUAAUAUGUGAAAUCUGAAGGCAGAGAACAAGAAUAAGAGAUUCACCAAGUAAAACAAAAAACAUGGGUUUGAAAUAAUGGAAUAUGUAUUAUUAAAACAAAAACAUUAACCUAAAGGCUAGUUCAUGGUUUUUAUUUAAUUUUGAUUUUUAUAUAUUUGCCACAUGAGCUUUUCCCCAAAUAGGUUACUGAGAUACAUAGCCACAGGAUGCACCUGCCUAAAUGCCCUGCAAAACACAGUCAUUUAAUAUUAUUCUGUGGUUCUUGCGGCAUUCAUCAUACUGAGCCUUAUGAUGCAACUGGAAGAGUUAGGACCCAAGACUCUACCUUUCCAUUUUACCUAUUGUGUUGUUUCCCAUCACUGCUGUAACAAAUCACCACACACAGUGACGUAAAGCAAUGCAUAUUGUUAGCUUACAAUUCUGGAAGUCAGAAGUCAGCAAUGAGUUUCACUAGGUAUGAAGAAUUCCAGGUGAUGGUCUGCAAACCUGAGUUCCUUCUAGAGGCUCUUAGGGGAAAAAUCUAUUUCCUUACCUUUUCCAACUUCUAGGGGCUGCUUGUGUUCCUUGCCUCCUGGCCAUUCUCUCCAAAGACAGCAGCAUCUUCAAAUCUGUCUUUGAUUCCGCUUCCAUUAUCGCAUCUUCUCUAGCUCUUCUAGGGAAACUUUUGAUCACAUUGGGCCCAACAGACAAUCCAGAAUCAUUCGUCUCAAUGGCCUUAACUUACCGACAUCUGUGAAGUCCCUUUUGCAAUGUGGGACAACCUGUUCAUAGGUUCCAUGGAAUAGGACCUGGACAUUUGGUUGGCGGGGUGGUCCUCUCUUCUGUUUAAAUCACCUGUACUCAAAAAAAAACAUAAGGCUUUGUGACAAAUUGUAUUUAAGAUGUUAUAAAUGCCAGUGUGUUCACUUUGUAAACAUUCAAUAUUGAAUGUUGUUAUGGCUUAUAAUAUCAUCAAUAUUUAUUGUAUUUUUUGUGAUGAACUGUAGGAAAAAAAUACUUUUUCCCUUCUUCAGUCAGUCAUUAGUCUCAUUUGUCUCAUUCUAGACUAAGGUUAGCACUCAAACAAAAACUAUUUAUUAGCUAAUGAGAAUAAUGAAAGCAGGCUAUUUUGUAUAUUAAUAGCUUUGCAUUAGGCAUAAUGAAUUUUAUUCCACAGGGCAAAAGGGAUUUCACAAAUGAAAAAACUAGGAACCAAUGUUCAACAUAUAUCCCAGAAAUUAGAUGGCUAGGAUUGGCUAUGUACAAGAAAACACACAUUUUAAUUAUCUCAUUUUCCCCUCCUAUUAUGUGACUUUCAUAAUAGAAACAUGGCAUAAUGGAGGUAGCCCAAGGCUUUGGAAUUAGACCAACCAGAGUUCAAAUUCUGGUUGUUCUACCUAUCAGAUAUUUUCAUUAAGGUAAUUUUUUAAAUGCUUCUCAGCUUUUGCAAAAUGGAUAUUAUAAUAUUCACCACACUGAGAUAUUAUAAAGAUUAAGUAAAAUAAUGUAUGAAGAUGACUUUACAUAAAUAAACUGUUAAUUUGCUUUGCUCUAUUGUCUUUGCUUUUAAAAUAGUUGUAUCUACUUAUAUAGAUUUGUCUUCAUGCUUAUAGCUGAAAUAGUUGAAAAUAUUUUAUUCUAUGAAUUGAAAAAAUAAAGACUACUGGCUUUUAUCUUUCACUAAAAUGUAAGUUUCUUGCAUUUUAGGAAAAUAAAUAUGGCACCAAAUUUGUCUGCAGGCACAGAGAUUACAUUCCUCGAAUGUUAAUAUCUACCUAUCUAUAUAUCCUAUUUGCCGUCAGGUUCUUUUGAGGGAUAAUGAUUUGUUUUAGAUUAUAUUCUCAAUAAGUGAUGAAAUUUAUAGACUCUCCUUCAUAGUCACUCAGCAAUGAAACAGAGCAAACAAUCAUUAAUAAAUGAUGGACGUUCUACGUAGGAUUCUGUGUUCUAGGUAUGUAUGCAAAAGAUGAUCUUACUCUUGAGAGCCACUAGAACUCUUUGAAGAAAAAAAAAUGCUAUUUGCUAUAGGGAAAUCUUUCUGGAAAAGUAAUAAUUUCACCUUUGAGUCAGCUUCCCUGGACUCUUGCCUCAUACAUCUUCAGCCAAGGUCAGUCCAUUAUGAAAAUCCACUCUCCCUUCCCCAUGAAAGAACAUUCGAGGCAUACUUAUUAUAUUAACUGAAUUGUUACAUAUGUAUUAAAAGUUUAUAGUAUGUGUUAGCAUUUAUUUAUUUUUUGUAAGAUGUCUUUCCAGGAAUAUAUAACCCUGGUUCAUAAUAUUGUGCCCUUUGUAUCCAAGAUUUGAUAUAUGUGAGUAAACAUACAACUGUCUAUCUGGGGGCAAGUAAAUCGAAAACCAAGAAUCAUCUCAAGUGUUGGAAAUCAUAUGGUAUAGAAUUCAUUACCAUUUGUGAACUGGAAUGGGCAGCAAGAUAUUUGAAUAAAAAUUAAACUAGUUCUAUAAUUGGUGAUUUGAAAUUUUUUGAAAAAGCCACGGCAGUGAAAUAGUUUGGAUGUCCCCUCAAAAUCUCAUGCUGAAUUGUAAUCCCCAGUGUUGGAGGUGGGGACUGGUGGGAGGUGUUUGGGUCACUAUAGUGCGUUUUCAUGAGAUCUGGUCAUUUAAAAUCUGUAGCACCUCCCUCCCCUUCUUGCUCCUGUUUUUUCCAUGUGAAGAUGCCUGCCCCAGCUUUGCCUUCCACCAUGAGUAAAAGCUUCCCAAGUCCUCCCCAGAAGCAGAUGCUGGCGCUAUGCUUCUGGUACAGCCUGAAAAACCUUGAGCCAAUUAAACCUCAGGUAAGUCUUUUAGCUAUCCAAAUCUGAUUCCAUAAGACUAUUUUUGUCGCAAGUAACUAUGGUGGCUAUCCUCAAAAGAUCUGUAAGAAAAGCAUUGCAUAGAAUCAGAGAAAAGGUUGAACAAUUUAAUAAAUUGGAAAGCCAAAUCCAACCUAGGAAUCUCAGCAACAGUUAUACAUGGAUGUUCCUUCUGCCUCCCAGAGAUGGCUGCCUGAUACCUGGCUCCAAAGGCUUGUUUUAAACAAAGGUCAUUAAUGAGUCUCCUGCUCAUGCCACAUAUCAUUCAUAUGUGGCAUGGUUGUAGAACUUCCUAAUCUUUACAAGAACCAAAGAAGCCUGGAAAUGCCCCAUUCAGAAAAAUAUGUUUGAGACUUUGCAAAGCUCCUUUCUCUAAUCCUUAUGAUUUCUUCUUUCACAGUGAGCUCAAGAUGUCUUUGUUGAAACAGAACCUCCCGAAGUUACAGUAUUGGUUUUGGGGCUCCACACAGAGAACACAUCACGGAAGCUAUAAUUGAGGAAGACAAAGCUGUCAGGACGACACCAAGAGAGUUAGAAAGCCCAAGAGUGGAGCAUUCUUCACCAUGAUUCCACCUGACACUUGGCUGAAAGCAUUUUGCACUAAUUUGCUUUGUGCCCGUUCAGACAAUCUAAAAAGAAAGGAUGGGGGGACAACAAGUGUCUAUUACACAGAAUAAACAGCCUCUGGCAAAUGAAUACAUUUUACACACUUGUGCUUUUGGAGGGAUGGGGUAGUGAUGAGGGGAAGGGGAAUGGAGGAGGAGAAGUCAAGGAUUAGAGGUCUCUUCAGCAUCUCAGGACUGCCUCUCUCUCUCUGUGGUCACAGGGGUAGGUUUGGUCCACAUGGCAGACAUGAAACUCAAGAUACAGCCCUGGCGUAUACGGGUUGGGAGGCCAGUGCUGCCUCUGGUGGUCCCCCCAGACCUGCAAUUCAUAUUUUGAAUGGGUUUAAAGCCUACUUGGCAAUUACUUUUAUCCUCUAAUGAAAUAGAUUUGAACCACUUUCCCUUGAUUAUAUUUUAAAUGUUUACCCCCAUAUAAAUAUAACUGCUCUGAGGUGGGAGGGGUUAAGCCUCUCCUAUGAAUCAAUUAAAGACAAAAAAAAAAAAAAGGCCUUGAGCUUUUCGUCCAGAUAGCAUGCAAGAAACACCAGGGUAAAGACAAAGGGAGCCAAAGAAUCCAUUCUAGCCUCUGUAAUUGGCUCCUAUGUUGAACUGUGAAGAGUUGGGACAAAAGCACAGGACAGAGAAGAUGGUCUAGCAAGAAAUACAUGGUCUUUUAAAAGUGAAACACAGCAUUUUUUGAGGGCAGCCAAGAUGGCCGAAUAGGAACAGCUCUGGUCUACAGCUCCCAGCGUGAGCGACGCAGAAGACGGGUGAUUUC